This 29912-nucleotide long non-coding RNA is filed under the name Coffea arabica (coffee). RNAcentral's name for it is "long non-coding RNA (CARA_LNC001729)". Lineage: Eukaryota; Viridiplantae; Streptophyta; Magnoliopsida; Gentianales; Rubiaceae. The record is from RNAcentral.
CAAUUUGAACCUCACUAGAUCAAGAACGCUUUGACUCAGAUCUCUUCAGAAAUUAUAUCUUUCCUGAGCUUGAUUAUUCAAAAAAUGGGUUAUUUUCCAGAGGCCUUAUAGCUCAUGAGCUUCUGAGAGAACAGAGCAUGCAGAUGGCUCGUGUUAACUCCAAAAGUGGUCGAGUAUCACCUCCUUCAAAUCCAAACAGAAUGCGGUUUGACAGCAACUAAAAAAGGCGCUGGGCAUUGUCCUUGACUGCAGAUUUUGCAUUUGAAAUCAUAAUGGAACCUUUGCCUUGGCCUUCUGCUUCAAACCUGUGCCUAAUCCAACAGGGGUCUGAUCCUGUGGACCUGGUUUGGAUUCAUCAAUAGAGCCACCCCCAGCUUCACUUGGAGGAUGAUCAUUAACUUCUUUCUUCACCCCGUUUUCCUCACUGAUUGCUGCUUCAGGGGUCACCCCAGAAUUGAUAAUAUUAAGAAGCUGCGUAAGCGGGGGUAAAGCCUGGACAGGAACACCAUGUGGCCGUAUUAAAAGGCCCCUUGCUGCAGCCUUCUUUCUAACUUCUGCAGCAGCUCGGGCAGCCCUUUCAUCAACUCCCCUCGCUCGAGGAAGGGCCUCGCCCAUUAUGGCUGCAUUCAGCGAUUUACUUGUAGCAGCACUAGAACUCCCAGAUCCUCCCCCAACAGCAGCAGCUUGGAAUGCAUGUAUUAGAUCAGGAUGGGCCUGCAAUGAGUCAUCUUCAGCUUCAGGAUGAAACCAUCAAACCAGGAAAGGAAUAACCCAUACAAGUCCAUCCAAUUAUACACUUUAAAGCCUGAAACUGAAACUGUCAACAAUACCCCGAGAAAUAUGCCUGUGUCCCAUUGGGAUGCCCAGGGCUUGGCAGUUUUUCCAUCCCCGGAGAUAACUUAUUACUCAUGAUUCCAUGGUCAAAGUUGGCUAAUAAAUACAGAUGUUAUGUAUCACUAUUGUUUCAGAAAAAUGCUUACAAACACAACAUGAUGCCACUUUAUUUAUCUACUUUUUCUUAUUUAAGGAGUUUCUCCAAAUUAACAAAUAAAAGGACUCCUACUUCUUUGACAAGAUCUCAAAGAAUUCCAGGUGAUGAAAACUCAAUUUUCGCUUUUUGUACCAGUCUACCAGAAAUAUGUCUACCCCAAGACACCUAGCAUUCUACAUUUCCGAAUUCUUUCCAUGAUUUAGAUAACCUAGAGUAUGACAAGUUCCAUGACAAGUUCCAAAUUCUUACUCCCGAGAGCUUCAUGUACUCUAUCCUUCUUGUUCCUUAAAACUUCUCAAACCAAAAAAUUCAGAAGAGGAGAAAGGCUGAAUGAGGGGAAUGUUUUUAAUUAAAAGGGUACCUUCAAAAUAUCUAUAGCUUUCUGGGCAGAAGCUGAAUUCAAAGCUUGACCUUUCUGCUUUUGAGCAUUCAUCUGAUAAGAAUAGGAUUAAAAUUAAUUGGCCACAAUGUAGAAGAACAAAGGAUGACCACAUUGAAAACUUACAAUUUACGUGAAAGUACCUGCAACUCGCGCAUCUUAAAUGUUUUCAUCCAGUUUUGAGAAUCCCUAGUCCUGGAAUCUUCUUCUCCAAGUUGCUUGACAAGUAUAUCGUAUGUCUUCUUUUCAUGCUGCCAUACCAGGAAGUAAUAUUUGAUCAAUUCAUACAUACAAACUGCACAAUCAGUAGUGAAGCAUAGUUAACAAUGCUAAGCACAUGCCUGGUGAGAGAGCUUGAAAGCACCCAUACAGUUGAAUGCAAUUGCCAAAGCAUGGUAGCACACAGCAGUUUGAAUGUGUUCUUCUCCUAAAAGCCUUUCAUUCUUCUUCAAGGCUUCUUGCAAAUAACGAAGAGCUGUGUUCAUCUUUCCAAUGUCUUGAUACAUCAUUGCAACAUUUAUAAAAGUUGCAGCAACAUCAGGGUGAUCUGGGCCAGAAGACAAACUUAGCAGAAGUAGAGCCCGAGACAUGUGUCGCAGUGCAAGUUCAGUUUGGUUAAGACCAUGGUAGAAAAGGGCCAUAUUUCCAUAACUGCAGAAAGUUAACAUGAGAACAAGAUGAUUAAAAAAGAUCUUAAUUCAAAUGCAAAAGAGCAGAAUGUGUGGACUAUGUAUCAUAUAAACAGAAGAUGAUAGAGAAGUCCUGGAAAUGUUAUUCGCACUUCAUUUUUUGUUAUUUGCACACCCACCAUUUGUUUUAUCAUAUGGUCUAAUAAAUGAAAACUAUAUGAUUAAAUGACAGUAGAAGUGUGAUUAACAAACAUGGGAAUGCAAAUAACAUUUCCCAAGAAACAUGGGUAAGAUUUUUUGGCAUGUUAACUGUUACUCUUCAAGAAAAAAGUAAUUCUGUCAUCUAAUAAUUAGAUCAAAAAAUAAGCUGUGUCUAAGUUUAUUUUUUUUUUUGUUAACUUAUUCACUCUUAGCUAGAAGAUGUAUCUUCUAACAAUGUUGUAUUCCUGCACUUGUCCAAGGAACUAAUCAUGGAUGGGCACUUGUUCCACAAACUUCUUAAUAUAUCUCAAAGCAAAAGGGAAAAAUGCAGUAACCAGAUAAAUUGGAUUGUCUAAGCAGGGCAACAUCAAGGUAAAACCAAUUGGACUACUAGUGAGCUACUUGAGCUAGCUUGGCCAACAGAUCUACUCGGCUCUAUCUAUUUCCUGAGGCUUACCUACUUCACAUAGUUGUUUGACCCAAUAGCAAGACCAAGCACUUUGCACAACUAAAUCCCAUAAUAUUCGAUUACUAUAUGUUGUCUGGCAUCCAAAAAUCUACUUUAACUUAGUCGUCGAAAUCGGGCUACAGGCCAGAAGAUAUUUGUGCUUGCUUCACUUGGCAUUACAGUUUAAUGAGCAAGGCAACAUAGUAAAGCUCAGAAGACAGAUUAGAACCUGUGUGCAGUGUCAGGGUGGUCCAGUCCAAGGCAGCGUUCAUUUAUUAUAAGUUCCUUGUGUUGUUGCAUUAUUGCUCCAGCCAUGUCGCCAGCAUGGUACAAAACCAUGGCAAGGUAGCUAUAAGUUACAAGAGAAAAACAGCAUAAAUUAAUUAUCAGAACAUUGUAGAAUAAUAAGGAUCACCAUUAAAACAAUUUGAAACAAGGAGAAAAUUACUUCUGAACAAUGUUAACAGUCAAAACACCUAUUAAAGUGCUAGGAAAGCUAUAUGAAACAAGAAAAUAGAUGUUUACACAAGCUAAAGUGGAGAAAUACAGUGUGUUUGGAUUGCACAUUAUUUACACCUUAUUUGCACACACUGACUUGCUUGCAUCAUCAACACAUUUUUCAACCACCUUUUUAUCUCACAUAUAUCACAUCAAAAAGUGCUACAGUAUUUUUUCAAAAAAUUAUCCCAAAUAAUCUCAUAAUCACUGAGGGAGAUAACAAACUGAACCACCACCAGUUCCAUAGAAGAAUAUAUUUCCAAAACAAUAAAAGAGGUGAUCAAAUAAGUAGUCCUUACCGACAGCAAUUAGCGACCUCCCUGUGCAUUGGACCAGUGACCUACAUUUUGUCAGAACAUGGCUAUGAGAUGCUUGCUCAUUAAGUCAUAAAAACAAAUGGAACACCAGAAUUCAAUAUAAUACCUGUUGAAGUAUAGUGAAGGCCUCCGAAAAUAAUGUAUAUGCCUCGCUGAGCAUCCCCUGCAAUCAGGUAGAAUGGUCAAACCAAUUUUGAAGCUAGUAAAAGUACGAAACAGCCACUCAAAUUUCAAAAUAAUAGAGCUAUCUGAAGAAUAUGUAGAUCAAUGUUCAUACUUUAAGGCCCUCAAGCAUGUUUAGUAAUUGCUUAGAUUAUAUAUCAACAUACUUUCUUUGCACAACUCAAGAUUAAUUGAGAAAUUAACUCUACAGACCUCCAGGUCAUGAUGGGACCUGAUUUCCAACACUUAACACAUGGCCAAAGUUUGUCAAUCACCAUAGUAGGAUGACAAUGAUUACAAUCUUUCUUCUCUCUUUCUGCGACAUUAUAAAAUUAAACUCCCAGCAUAAAAAAUGCUAGGACAAGAAUGAUUGUAAUCUUGUUUUCUGCAAUCUUGGCACGUUCAACUCCCAACAUCAACUCUUAUCAUGUGCAGACAGUGAAACAGAAUGGCAAGACCUUGGAUUUUCAUGAUAAAUAGAAAGCAAAAAUCAUCCGUACCUCAGCUAAUUGAACCUUCCCUGUUUCCACAAGAUCCUUGGCUUCCGAACUAACAGGAAUAGCAUGCUUUACUACAGGUUGGAGAUUCAAAAUAUCUGAUGCUUGAAAAGGCGCAACUCCAUCGAGAUCAUAUCUCCGAGUUGCAACUGUUACACCCACCUAUUAAGACCCCCAGCUCUAUGUGUUAAGUGUAACCACCAAAUAGUAACAAUAACCAGGACACCAACAGCUAUUUUCCAGAAGGAAAGAAUGCACAAAGUGAAAGAUUACCAUGUAAUACCAGAUUCAACAGAAAGCAAAUAAAUAAGACCAAUUAGAUUAUAAUAAGAUAUCUCCUACUUUAAAACAAGAUAGUUACAUAUAUGUAAAACCACAAAAAGAACCGCACAUGGCAUUCCUGUGCCAAAACCUCAUUUUUCAUGAAUUCCACACUGUGAGCUAUCUCAACAUACCAUGAUUAACUAUGAAUCAUAUAGUCUGAGUACCUCAUGGCACGUUUGCAUCAUUUGUAUGUAAUUUUUGCUCCUCUCCUACUUAUGUCUAUUCUAUAAUUCUCUUUUCUACACUUUCAACAAGUCUAUUAUAGCCACGAUGUGGUGGUUGUUGAGCAAAAUAUUAGUUUCCCCUUUACAAAGUUAAAAGACGAGUCCAAAAAAAUCGAUAACCAAAAUUAUGGAAAUUUCCAGAGAAAAAGUUGUCUAGGAGUGAUUACAUCCAGGAUUCAUAAGAGAAAGUGCGCAUCGGAAAAGUAAAAUAUUGACGCCAUUCAAAAUUGGCAACAGGAAGAAAUCUCACAUCAAAGCAAUAACCAAGAACAUGUCAAUCGCAAACAAUCAUGUGAAUGCAAUUUUCCACCAGAAGUACUCAUGAUUGUAAAACAAUUCCUUAAAGUACUGGAUAGCAGCAAAGUUUUUUAGAACAAUAAUUUUUAUUUUUUUUCUUUUGGUUCUUUCUUGCACAAAAGGUACAGUAACUUAAUACCCAAGAUUUCUAAUGUUCAUGAUAAGAAGACGCAACACAAAGUUUGAAUAAUAUUUGUAAAACAUUCAUUUUGAUGGUCUAAAACCAAAGCUACCUUAUGGCAAAGGUUGCGGAUCACUGGAAUUUUCCUUGCACGCAAUCUUGCAUCCUCUGGCAAUUCAAACUGCACCAUAGAAAAAGAGACAGGUAAAGCUACUAGGAAACUAAUAGAAUGAGAAAAUCUUGGGCAAGCUACCAGGACAAAAUUUUCUCAAGCUCAUGUUACCUGGUAUUUUAGUUUAGCAAAUUCUUGAAUGUCAAACCAGAGACAAUCAGAAUUAAAAUUCAAAAAUGAGGACUGCUUCUUCCUAGCUGAUCCUCUAUUUUUUGACUUAGCCUGACUCUUGAAGGAUUUUGAUGAAGCUUGAUGGCCCACAUGGUCCUGUAAUAUUUACAUUCUCAACUCAGGAAAUUUCUAAACUACAAUAUCAAAGCAAGUGUACAUAUGAAAAACUGCAAGCAAAUACCUGGUUCCAUUCAGGGUUCAGUUUCUUUUCAAAAUGUUUUGUUCUUCCUUUGUAGUUGCCGAGCUUUACUUCUACGUAAGGAUCACAGGUGGCUGUAAUCGAGUUUGGUGGAAGAUCUUUGGCCUUGACAACUCGAACAUACAGAUAAAACAUCUGCUCAACCAGAUCAUACGUGCUGGUGUAUCUCUCACUGCUGAUCCACCCUCUUCCACCAUAUGCACCCCCACUUGGCCAUUGAUCACCAAGCUGGGGGCUGGUGUCCUUCACUUCGUAGUCGUCAUCUGGGCUGGGAUGUGCUUGUGGAUUAGCUUGAUGAUGCAUUGUUAGCUGGAUGCGUCCUGGUUUGCUUCCCACCACUAAGCCUGGUGUAGAGAACACUUGGUGCCUGUGUAUUUCUUUGAUUGUCUUUAUGACUUCAACAGGCUCUUGGAUGACUUCCUCAAGUUCUUUGGUGCGAUCAGUGUGGUAAGAUUCUGUACCUUCUGUGUUACUGGUAGCUUCAGUUGAAAUGACAGCAGUGUUCUCAGUUCCAGAUGAUUCUGUUUCUGCUACAGGAGUCCUGAGACUAGGAAUUUGAGGAUUGGAAAUAGAAUCUGGUUUAUCACUUAUUAGGCUGGGGGUCUCUGAAACAGGAACGUCAGGAGGACUAGAAGGUGCUGGUGGAGUUUGUGGAGGAGAUAUUGGAAAAUAGGACUUUGGCUCAGAUUCUGAUGAGAUAUAAAUUUUCAGGCCUAUCUCACCUUUGACAAAUGAGAACAACCACUUGCUGUCCAAUUGGAAUCUCUGAUAAACUUCGUCCCCUUUCUUGACAAUAUAAGAGCAAGGGAUUCUCACUCUUCCAAGAAAGUUUCUUCCAGGGUUUGGUUUUCUUUGAUGGUGAACAGAGACUUCAAUAGUCUGAUGAAGAUAGUUUCUAGCUUCUUCAAGAUUGAAAAGAAGUUUUUGAUUCCAAAUGGGGUUGAGAUUUUUUGGUACCGUUGUGGUUCGACUAAGCUGAUUGCCAAAAUCAACUUCUACAUAUGGACUAGCUGAUCCUUCGCCGUCUUUUGGCAUAAGAUCACAAGCAUCCACAACUUCAACUACUAGUUUCAUACUCCUUUUCUGCUUGCUUUGAUUCUGAAUGAAGCUACCAGGAAUUAGCUCCUCGCAAGAUAUCUCAAACUCUAUUUAGAAGCAAAGAAGUUCUCCCUAGAAAAGGCACUAAGCAGAAGAAAGAAACUGUUUUGACUCGUAUCUCUCUCUGUCUCUCUCCAUGCACACACGUGUAGUCAAACACACAACAGAAGGGAAUCAUAUCAUCUAGAUGGUGAUAUGCUGAAAGAAAAGAAUAAUUUGAUGAAGAAGCUGUGUUUGAGCUCUGUGGAUUUCAAUUUUGAGACAAAGAGAUGGAGGCAAGGUAUAAACAUUGUGCAAAAAGUGAUAAAGUGAGUGAUGAGUUCAUGUGGGAUAUCAAAAAAGGGUUGAAACAAAUAUAGCCUUUAUGCUUUGCUUAGUGCUGGAGACACUGAUUACAAAAGCUUGUUUAAGCAAAAGUUUCAGCUUCUAGUUCUUUUUGCACAUUUCUGUCUUGUCCUUUUUAUCUUAUGCAACAAAAGCUAGCAAAACAAGUAGAGAAAAUUUUGCAAGAUGUGCCACAACCCCAGAAGCAUCAACUUCACCCAUAAACUUGUCCUUGAGGCCUAAUCAUGUUACAUACAACCUACAUUGUUAAUUAAAAUUUUGAAUGCACAAGCUAAUGAACCCGGAUGUAUAUUUAUUUUCUUAAAUUAGGUAUAAUAUAGAGUUUUAAUUUAGACACUAGAAUGCUCAUAAAUUAUGGCGCUUGUUAGUAUCUGUUUUCAUGUAUUACAAAGCAACAAUUCAUUUUCAAAUAAGGGGAAGAAAAAAUGAAAAUUUAACUGAGCCAAAUAAAAGUGUAGAUAGUUAAUAAAAGUGAUAUGUGAUAGAUAAUAAAAGUGUAGAUAGUUACAAAGAUGGCACAAAUAUUUGGUGUGGUGUGGAAAUCAUCCUCUAACAAUUCCACAAGCAAGCAAAAAACAACUGGAUCCAAUUAUUAUUGGAGGGUGGUCACUGCAUACCUGUUAAGUUCAUUUCAAAAUUAGUCUGACUAAAUUCAGAACUGCUCGAACCAGGCAGGUUGGGCUGAUCUUUAGCUUUUCCUAUUUCCUUUUUCUUUCUUCUUUUAUAUAUAUGGGCCUGUUUAUAUUUCUAAUCUCAUUUUGGGAUCAUUCACUCUUAAUUUGGACAGUAUACACUCAAAAAACAAUUUUCUACAACCUUUGUCUGGAGUAAUGCAACGUUCACUGUUUCUUUGUUCUUUCUAAUCGCGCACAGUUUAUACAAAAAAUCAGUUCAUCAGGUCGAUCAAACCGGCAAACAGAAAAUCCAUGAGCUCCCUGGUUAGCUAACAGGGAUGGUUUCAGAACAUUGGUGGGAAUUGCCAAAUUGGAUUUCUCAGGAGCCAUUUUGCCCAUGGAAUGUCAACUGGGCAGCAAAACUAGAACCCAGAUUUUUUUUUUUGUUAAGAAUUUUGUUUGCCAGCAUAAAAAAAGAUGCCUUCAUUCACCAGCCACCCCUUUUCUGUUCGUUGUUAGCAAGCUGAGUUUCUUUCAAGACCUAUUCUGAUAUUGCUUGCUUGCUCAAAAAAAAGGGGGUACAUAGCUGCUUUCUAGAGGUUGCUUGGUCGAUCCAUAAUUGAAUCUCAGCUGAUUCCAAAAGCAGCAUAAAGCAUGAAAAAGGUAGACAUUGCAACUCAGUUUGCUCUGCAUCCAAGGAUACUAAAAUUCGUUGUACCUUUUGAUCUAAGAAGAAGAUUUAGUGUCAAAACUAAAGACAUUAUAGGACUGCAUGCAGCAUACUAUAUGAUACAUAAUUCAAGAAUCAUUACUUUUUAAUUUCGUUGGAAUUUCAUUCAAUUUGAUGGCAAGUUUAAGCCGAAAAAUGUUUCUUACCAUAGAAUUUCUUUGGUAUGCUAGAUGCCAAAUUAAGGCAGCUGGUGCAUCCAAAUGCAUAUUUUAACAGAAGCCCUUGCUUUGCCAUGCGAGAUCAUCUAAAAAGAUCAGGAUGCUUGUCAUCGAUCAUUCAGCCUCACCAAAGCUAAUAGUAGCUGAAAGCAUUACAUCAAUGUUGGAACCAUUUUAAGGAGUUAAAAGUCACCCAAUCUUCAUAACGAGAUCAGUGUGAUGCAUGUUUAGCUCAAAGUUUAUGAGCCUCUUAGCAAUCGAAAGCUUGUGUGCCAGCUCAUUUCAUCUAGCCACACUAACAGUACUUAGCGUGGUGGAAAAUUUGGUUCCGUUGUUCUUUGAGGACCUUUUCUGACUGUAUUAUAUGGAGCAGCAAGAAUAGCUAGUAAGGCUGAAAGAUGAAUCAAACUAUUUGAUACUCAAAUUGAGUUUAAUUUGAUAAGAGUUCGUUCGAAUUUUGUUCAUCAAUUAGUCAAGUUAAGAUUGAACGACGUUUUAUGUUUGAUAAUAUUAGAACUUAAUAAAAAGCUUGUUCAACCUCAAUUCACCAAAUAAACAAGUCAAAUUUCAACAAAAUUUCAAACUCGUUAAAAUAAUCAAACAAGUUUAAACAUUCGGAUGUUUGACUUAAUUAGAUUCGUCUGCACCCCUAACAGGUAGUUACCUAAAGAAUCAUGGCAUGAGUACCUUGAAUUAAACACUUCUCAAACAAUCAAAAUUCUGCUAAAUUUUGGUUUUGCAUUUUUCUGGGAAAACAAAAUGUCAAAUCAAGAGAUGCACCAAGCUGUCAAUUACACAAGAAGACUGAUAUACAUAAAUAGUUUAUAAAUUAGCUAGAAAAAUUCUGAAAAUUAGAGUAGUUAUUUAUGCAGUCAAAAUUUUUAACUUUCUUAGGUGAUUCAGUUUGCAGUAAUAGAACACAGAAUAGUUGCACAAUAACUAUUCUUUCCUAGGCUAGACCCAAGCUGAAAAUAGUUUUGAAUAUAAGGGUUAAUUCCAAUGUCCUCCAUCAACCUAUCACAGAUUGCCUAGUUUCAGUUAAAACAAUGCAUCCACCCCGAGGGUUUCAAUUCUAUUAAUCAAAUAUAGGCUUACAACCAAUCCUCAAAUUUCAAAAUAGAAAGAACUGUUUGAUUGCCAACGUGCCUAAGAUGCCAAUAAUGGGUUGAUCACAUACAUGUACAUUUUCAUAGGCGAAAAAUCAAUAGUUGUCGUCCAAAUGCAAGAAGCACUGGAAACAUCACACAUUAAUCUAGGGUAGUGGAAACAUUAACACACUAAGCACACUAAGAAAGAACCACACCUUAAAUCUAUAAUCACACAAUAAUGAGAGAGAAGAAGUUGCUCAGGGGAUUGAAAAAGGCAACGCAGGAAAAGUCAAUUGGCGCGCUUCUGGAGUAGUUCAAGGGUUAUAAACCUGGUAAAAGCACAAAGUAAUUGGUGAAGUUUGUGAUUCCAAAGGUCAGCGGGUUAAAUGGGAUUUUAUUGUACAGGUAAGAACAAGUCAGGAAUGAGAAAAAAAAAAUUUUUUUGGCAGGGUAGCCAAGUCCUUUCAAUGAAAACUAUCCGACCAUUAGAUUAGGAAAGCUGAAAAGACCAAAGGCAACCUGUGAUUGGACUAAGCUGUAGGGGGCAUUUGGGGAUUAACCCAGAAAAUGAGGGUAGUAGCACAUUUCUGCAAACUCAGUACACAGCCACUUGAGCAGAAGACAGCCUUCCUUUAAAUCCACACGGACCUAGCAGUCUCCAAAAGAAUACAAGUCCUCUAGCAAAAAGAAGGCCCGAGUAGUGAUAAUCCUACAUUGCAUUCCAGGGAGAGAGAGAGAGAGAGAGAGAGAUAAACCCUACUUUAUAUCAUUGGCAGCUGCCAUAUGCGUGUUUAACCUUUUCUUUUAUCUGAAAAAAUAAUGCCUCUUAUAUACAAAUAGCCAAGAGGCGUAAUGCCAGAUGACUUCACCUCAAACAAAAUGGUGAACCCUGUUCAGUUUAGACCAAGUAAAACAGCACAUUUCUUGCCUACCAAGAAACCAAAAAGGAAGAGGGGGCCAAUGAUGGACUAUAUUUGCAUUAACAACAUCCAGCUCUCUAAUGGUGUAUCAGUGUGCUUAAUCCCUCCUCCAUCUACGACAUAUGGGCCGUUAACACAGCAACCCGGCUACAACUUCGCUCAGCCAGAAGCACCUGCUGCAGCACCCUUGUCAUAUUCGCCUUGUUCUUCUUUGGCAAAUUCCUCAAUUAGACGACGCUGCCUUUGCGUCAAAUUCCUGUUUUGACAUGGAAAAAAUGGACAGUGUGAAGAUAUUUCAAUAUGUGUUCAGAAAUAUAUUGACCAUGAUAUUCCAUAAUGGACAAUGUAGUUCUUGGAUAUCUUCAGUGCUUGUCAACAAUGCAACUGCAUUCUUAAGUGAAAUAUAAUCUACUAAAUUUAUGGCCUACCAGCAAGGGCUGAGGGAAGGGGAGCGAGAGUUGAAUGGGGCAUGAAAAUGUUUUAGGGUUUAAAUAAACUUUAAGCGAAUUAGACAUACGCUGGGAUGCUGACGUUGAAGUGCACAAAUUGAUCUCCAAAUGAGAACGAGUUGCUUGUCUUAAUCCCUGCAUAAGCAAACACUCAAGCACAAUCAUGACUCCAAAAGGAAAAUAACAUAUUUAUACCCAAUUCAACUUUGUCUUCUUCUUCUCUUGGGGAUUGCAUGAUAUCAUGAUUCACACUUUCCGACUUGAAGGGUAUCUAUAGUUCUUCUUAAAUGCUUUUCUCAACUUAGAACCCUAAAAUUGGGAGUUGAACCACCCGAAAUCACAUUAAUGUUUGUUGGGUUUACUACAAGAAAUACUUCGAAAAAAUGACACAGUAUAAAUCCACAAUUUCGCAACCAAUUCUAUCACCAAAAUGGAUGGCAGUGAUUAGAUAAUACUGGAGAGAUAUUGUUAAGAAUUUGGGCCUUUAAUGUAUCACAAGUUCAAUAGUAAAUUGCAGUAAAAUUUUUCCGAGGAAAAUUCAGCUCUCCUUGCAGCUAGAAGUUUUCAACAGCCCAGUCCAAAGGCUGUACAAUAUGGUGUGAUUUGCAACAGUGCAACUGUUAUGUGAAAAUGCAUGUCAAAGGCAGAAAUCGAUGGUCAUAAAUGGAGAAAACUUGAAUAUCAAGCAUCUAAUCAGAAGAAGAUCACAAACAGAAACAGAAGCAUCCUGAACAUAUCUCUCUACCUUUCCUUUUCAGGACAACCUUUUGGCCGGGUUGGGUACCAGGACGAACCUGAAGAUGGAAAGGAAAGCAAAGACAAGUUGGAAAAAAAAGUCUGCUACCCGCAAAAGUGCGAGAAAAAAAUAGCAAAGGAGCAAAGAAAAAAGAAGAAAAGGGCCCUCAACAAUGAAAUGUUUCAAACCUACCUUGAGAACAACAUCUCCAGUCAAAGUCGGAACUUGGAUUGUCCCUCCCAAGAUAGCCUGCAAGAGAAUAUUCAAAUUAAUAUGUCAAACAUGAUAAAGAAGGUAAUCCAAGUCCUCUGGCAUGAAAUGAACAAGCCAGUAAAGCUGUUUUCUUUCUUCUUUGCUUUAGGAAAGUUUGAACUAACAACAAACAAGCUAUUAUGCCGUUAAAUGAGCAAGCUACUAAAGCUGGUGCUUUCUUUGAUUCUGAAAAUCUGAAGUAAACAAUAAAUAUGCAGUUUUGCCUCACAGAAAAGCAAAAGAAUCAAAGAAAAUGAGCUCAUGGUAUCAACUUCUAUAGAUGAUAAAGGAUUAGAGGUCCUUUAUCAUUACACAAACAGCAAUUAGUUGGCUGCCAUAAAUAAGAGCACUAGUAGUCACUUGAGAAAAUACAUAUUUAAUAGGGAAAGAUGCAUUCCAAAGUUUUGAAAAUAGUAAUAUGAGUGGUUCAGAAAAAGUCAUAUGCAACCCUGGGCAAGGUCGAUCACGUCUAGAAUUGUAAGCAGGAUGCAAAAGAUGGCAAUUGAUCUUCAGGAGACACAGUCUUCCACGUGGAUUCCUUGAAAGUAGUUAAGUGUACCAAAACAUGUGUUAAGGAGUACAAGUUCCAAAAAGACAGCUGAAAGCAAUUGCUUCUGAGAAGAAAAUAAUGCUGUUUAUAAGAGCACCAAGUAGGUAAGAUUUUCUAAAGUAGAGCUAUGCUACCAGCUGGAAGAAUUAAACCAUUCAACAGGCAGAUUGAAAUGGUACAAGGAUUGGAAAUGAACAAAGUCAGAGAAACCACAUAAAGGAGCUCUACAGAGCAGCAUGAAGCUGAUGUCUUAUGUUGCCAAAUAUGGAAGUGGGAAGAACAGUGGAGUUCAUCCAAGAAGUAAGGGCAUUUCAGUUUUCCCAAUGAGCAGGUCAAUAAAGGAAAUUGAGUUCAUUUGUGAUAGGGCUGAUGUUAUUGAAGCCUGGGAGAGCAAUGCCCUUCACUAAGAAAAUUCACACUAACUUUUGUAGCUUGGAAACUGGCUAUGUAUCUGAGAUGUAAGAGCCAGCUUGGGCAGACUGUUGGGCUCCAGUGGUAAAGUAAAAAAUUUCACAUGUAACACAUAUUACAAUGUUGCAUUUGUGUCAUUUACCCAAUAGUAUUUGCCCCGUGGCAAAGGAAUUGCAAAAGUGACGAAAUACCUGAGUGAUACUGAGAACAGCAUCAACGUGAAUAUCAGCCCCUUCUCUCCGGAAAACAGGGUCCUCUCUCACCUGGAAAGUACAAACACAAAAUCGGGGAGCAACUCAACCUUGAAACAAAACAAAAUAAAACUGACCAGGCUAACAGAAGCUAUUUGUUAAACCUUGAUAGUAACAUAAAGAUCUCCUGAUUGAUUGCCUUCUGGAUCUGCUCCACCACUUCCAUAGACCUUCAUAGUUUGGUCAUUGUCUACUCCUGUAGCCAAAAGUGAACCAAUUGAACCAGAGACCACAGAGAUGUUAUCAGAUAAUUUCACAACAAAGUUAAAGAAAACGCUCAACAUGGCCACAUCAAUAUCUUCUACUUUAAGAAGCUGCUCCAUGCCCACCCACCCAAAUAUGUGAGUAUUUAUAGUCCACAUCAUGUGUGUGCGCGGAGUGGAUGUGUUCCACUUUAAUCAUGAAACCAGAAGCACAAUAGUAAACAUCAGCAUCUUCAUAGCAAAAUACGUAUGCCCAACUGAAAUGUCAUUAAGCAGCAGCAAACAUAUCCCAACAAGGGUAAUUCAGGCUGCUUUUAAAAGAGGGGAAAUUUCUAGGAGAAACUGCAUCGCAGGAAACUUUAACUGAGAUGAAGGCAAAAGGAAUUAUGUUUCGCAUAUAUAAUUUUGUUUGACAAUCAAAUGACUUACCCACAAGGAAACGUGUGGGAAGUUAAAGUGAAAAACAUGCACACACACACACGACAUAUGCUCAAAAUAUGAUAAAGUUACAUAUUCCAAUUCCUUCUAGGUUCUGUUACAAAACAGCAAUUGGUAACAGAACAUCAGGAAAUUUUUUCGUAUUCUCUUUCAUAAUACUAGAAGUUGUUCAAAUAAGAACACAGCACUUUCCACUAUCACAUGUACUCAAGGCAGACCAAGUAAUUUGCUUUACUUUUAUACUAUCUGUGCUUCUUGUUUAGAAAAGUAUUCUGUCAAUUUUGUACAAUCAAAGUGGAGCAGGUAACUUAUCUCAUCGCAUACUGGAUAUGUAACCAUCUAUUCCAAAGAUAACUCAUCCUCGUUAAUAUGAACUAUAGUUCUUUGUUGGCUGCAUAUUUACCCUCUGAUUACAGGGACUUGUGAUAUGCUGGAUAUAUGACUAUCUGUUCAAGACAUAACUCAUCAUUGUUAAUAUAAACUUAAGUUCUUUCCUGUUCUUUUCAUUUUACCCCAAUAAUGUAAAAGUUACAAGUACAUAAUAUCUACCAUUCUGUUGAUAACAACAUUUCCUCACUUUGUAUCAGGAUUCAGUUUUCUAGGCAAGUGGAUAUAAAAACACUAGUCAACCAAACUGAGUAAAUAAAUAAUCAACACCUUCCUGUCACGGUCAACCUUGCACAGUAGUUAAUGCUGACUUCCACAAACUUGGUUAAGGCAGUAUAAAGUAAGCAAUCAUCUCAACUCUGGGGGGAGAUUUACAAUUUAUUUUAAGGAAACAAAGCAAUGUGAUAGAUAAUUUCAAGUACCUGGCUUGAUAUCUAGUUUAACAGUUUUUGUUCCUUUCACAACACGUUCCCCCUUGCAAGACUUACAGACAUCCUACACCAAUCAAUAAGAACAGAGGUUCAGAAUCUGAAGAUAAGAAUGGACAGUCCAUAGAUGAUGGAACUUAAAAACACAAAAUUGCAUAGAAGGUAUCACACACUCAUGAAACUAAGCCAAGAAACUUCCCAGUUCCACAGUCAGAGAAGUUUUAUUCAAUUGAAUUAGUUAACUCCCACAAGAAAUUCAGUAUCAAUUUUAAAUUCCAUAAUUUAUAACAUUUCACACGAUAUGUCAGUAACUGCAGUAAAUAGAUAUCAAAGUAAGCAGCAUACACGAAAGAAGAUUAUCUAAUGACAUGCAUAAAAUCCAUUCAAUUUUCAUUCUUAAUUAUCAUUCUUAAUUACUAAUACCAGACGGAAGGUUAGCAUGCCUGGUCAACCACCCAACCAAAUAAAAAUCAAGUAGUCAAGAGAAAGGAGAACAAAAGCACCAACAACUUUUUAAGACCUUUCCAGCCGCAUUAUGUACCAGGAGAAUUUCCACAGAGUCAGGAAAGAACCAGAAACAAAGAUCAACCAUCUAACAAGAUUGUUCUUUAAUUAAGCAUCAAAUUAAUUGCAUCAAACUUUGUUAUAGAUGGAUAAUCUGCAGCAAGCCAACUACAAGAAGAUAAAAACAUUUCCAUUAAAAGAAAAGCAUCGUUUGACCCAAGUAGUGGAAUUGGCAUACCGAUACAAUCUUUCCAGACCCACCACAUUUCCGACAAUUCAUCUGAAAAAAUACAUUUCCUCCAUGAAAUUUUGCCUGCGCAUGAUGAGUAAGAUGAGUAAGAGAAACAUAGACCAAUUACUUUAGGUUAGACUAUCAGAUUCAAUAAGGCGCCAAUGAGCAACAAGUCCGAGGAACAUACCGUUCCAGAGCCUCUACAAACUGGACAAGUUUCAGGGCGCGUGCCUGGAGGAACACCUGCUCCACCUGACAAAAUCAAGAAGCAAUUCAAUCAGGCCAGAAAAAACCUAAUGCAAAAUAAGUUAAACCGUUCACAUGACUUGAACUACUACCUCAUAUAGCAUAGUCUCCAGAGGUAAAUUACUACAAAUAAGGAACACAAACUUAAAAAGUUCAAUACAACCCCAUCUACUAAGAACAAUAGCAACGACAGGUGAAGUGCCUUCAGAGAGGUUAAGCAAAAGAGAAGCAAAGUGCAAGUCUAAUCCUUUUCAUUCUCCAAAACCACACUAAAACUGCAGAAGCACAAAACAAGCCUGUUUUAUUGAAUUUUUUCUCUCAAAUUUCCAAUUCCUAUUCACCAUUGCAAAUUUUCUUUGUGGUUAAUCUACUUCAACAGUUCAUUAACAGGUUGCAUGAAGAGCAUUUGGGGCUGAGAAACACAGGAUAACAGCAUUGCCUACAUGACAAAGUCCCUUAGCAGGGCUGUGAGCUCAUCCAUAAAAUGGGUGAGGACCUAUAUUUUUGAAAAACCAAUGGCCUAGCACUGGGGACUGCACAAUACCCAGAUAACUGUUUAUAUCCAGGGGAAGCAAAGGCCGCAUUAUCCUUUUGCUGUCAAUAAUUUCUUUCAGCAUUCAAUUUCUGUUUAAGAUCACCAAGUGUUCGUGUGUAUGUGUAUAAGAAAUCUUCCUCUCCCCCUAACCCAAAAAAAAAAUAUAUCUACUGUAUGUCCUUAUCCCCUAAUUUUCUUCUGCAACCUCCACUUCCUGGUGUAUGUUUCAGAGUGCCCUCCUAUUUUCUCUCACCAAACCUUCCCCUUCUAUUUAUCUUUCACCCUUUUCUCCUACACCCACCCCUCUAUUUUUUCUCAUCCCUUCCUCUUCUACCAACUCCUUCGUCUCCCUCCUCCCAAAUGUCUUCCACUUACAAACUACGCUGACGUAUAUUUGGAUGACACAAAAAGGGUAACAUGCUUGCAUAUACAGAUAACAAAUACAGAGAUGAAAAGAUUCAGUCGCUGAUGAUGAUGAUUUCACGCUUAACGUGACUUUCAAAUGCCUUGAAAGCUUGAAGCUUAAAAUUGACCCCAUGUUUGCUACACUUGUUUUACUUUUAUAUUAACUAUGCUUAUUUAAUUUGUCGUGGCAUACUAAUCUUUCGUGCAUUUAUUUGCAACAUCUUAUGCUAGAAUUCUAAAAUCACUAUGCAUUCAGUGAUGUUUUAGAUUUUUGGUCAUGUUAUUGUUAGCCAUCAAAUAUAUACAAAAAGUGCAUGAAAGCAUACUUAAGAUUCUGCAGUUCGUGCUAAUGCCCUAGCAACCUAAUGUGGUUUGCCCUUUAACUACUGUGUUACAGAAAGAAAAUUGUUUUUACCACAAGUAUUGCAAGGUAUUUCAGUCUGGAAACUUAUAGUUUUGGAGCAUCCUUGAACUGCUUCCAUGAAGGACAGUUCAAUAGAGACCUACAAUAGUCAACAAAGCAGUGAGACAUAAUAAAUUAACUAUUAUCCCUGAAAAAUUACUAUUACAGAUUUACAUAUCAAACCUUGACAUCUUCGCCGCCCAUAUUUUUCACAUUUCUCAUAAACUGGUCUCCAAUUUCAGUGCAGCCACACCAGCAGACCAUGCAAAAAAGGAAUAAAAUUUAGAUCUCAGACAUUGCCUUGGAGUUGUAAAGAAAAAUGAGAGAUUGGUUAAACAUGACUAAAAAAAUUACAAGAAAAAUGAUAAAUUAGUUAAACAUGCCCAUCACAAAUUAGGUUCUAGAGCAUUUCCCUCUCUUCCUACUUUCUGUAGUUCAUCUAUUUAUUUGAUUAGAGGUGCGGACAGCAACACCUACACUUGCUACAUAUAGAUGAGGACAGCAGGAUGUGGUACUUUUCAUCAAAACAUUGCCCUUUCCAUUUAUAUUUAUCUCUGUUAUAAGAAAAGAAAUUAAAAAGCGAACUCCCAGAAAAACCAAACAUAACAAAGAAUAUAAUGCGAGAAAAAGUUCAAUAACUGAAACUACUCCAUACAAUUCAAAAAGCAACUCCUGCCACUAUAUCUCUUUACUCCCAGAUUCAUGAUGAGUUUACUGCUUUCAAAUAACUCAACAGGUUUUUCCUCACUUCAGAAUUCAUAUGGCAAAAAAUUAAGCAUUCGAAAUCAGUGAUCUGGAAACCUAUUUACUCAAAGUGGGUUCUUUACCAUGGAUUUGCUCAGACAGACUGGCUGUAAUAUGUCCUAGUAGUCUAUGAUUCUAUGGGGCAUGAGGUAGGAUACAUCCGACAGGACAUUAAUCUCAUCAAUUACCUAACAUAUAUCCAAUAUAAGUAUUCUAUCUGACAGGACAUUAAUCUCAUCAAUUCCCUAAAAUGUAUCCAAUAUAAGUAUUCUAUCUUGCUAGCAGAGAAGGAAAGGCCAAAAAGUGAUAAGUCAUACCAAAGCAAAUUAAAUGGAAAAAAAUUGAACUAAGUAAACUUAUUAUGAAAUACAUACAUCAAAACCAUGAAAGAAUUCCUGAAAAGGGUUAAAGCCGCCUUCUUGAAAUGGGUCGUACCCAGCACCACCAUUCUGUCUAUUAAUUUUAAAAGCAUCAUGGCCAACCUAGAACAAUUGUCACGACACAAAUAAGCAUUAUUAUCCAGGUGGAGACAAAGAGAUGAGCAAACAAUCAUAAACAAAUACGAACCAGCAAAAAUGAAAAACAUGCCAACUGUGUACCUAAAACACUAAAUCUUUGCAUAAGUAUUGAACAAAAUGGAACGAGGUGCAAGACCCAGGAUCAAGUAAUUAUUAGGCGAUACAAUCAUUAAUAGAAAUACUUCUUAUUCCCACAAAAAUAUGUGGAAAGACUCAAAAAUUAAUUAGUACCCAAAAAGCUAAAAAUCAAGAUAAAUAGCCCAUCAAGUAAGAAGCAAGCAGAGAAACAAUAUACUGCUCUUAAAAAUACUUUAAAUUUACUAAGUAAAAUAUAAAAAAUAAGCUGAUCAAGAUAAAAAGAAAUGCAGUAACCUUUUUUUUUUUGCAUGGGAAUGGUGUAGCGUGCCCCUUCUUAAGCCAGUACACAUAUAUACACAGAUAAAUAGAUCUACACUAGUACAGACAACUUAUAGAUAAGUAGGUCUACACAUAUACAGGCAAUUUAUAGAUAAAUAGGUCAAUACUUAUACAGAAAACUCAUCCAUUUUGGUUUCAGGAACAGUUCAAGUAGCUCUUUCAAUGAAAAAACAAAGGAGUAAAAACAACCACAUCAUUGUACUUUUAAGUCUAAAAUUCUGAAUUCAACGAUUCAAAAUAAUGCAUGUAACAACUUCAACGUAAAUACCGAAAUUAUUUUGUUUUUACUUCCCAUUUUAACCCUUGCAUUUGAAGUGGAAGGGAUGCACUAUCUGUAAUUGCAUUCCUGUAGUAAAGAGGUAAGGCAUAGAUAUCCUCCUCUCUAUUUCUUUUUUUAUUUGCUUUCCCCUAACCCUCCUAUCUUCUCCUUUCCCUUCUUCAAUUAAUUAACAUAUAGGGGUCGAUGCCAAACCCCGCCAUCUCAAGGUGGCAAUUCCCAUAAAAAGAAAACAAAAUUUAAACUAGAAACCUCAUCAUACUCCGCGCGUUUCUUCUCAUCUUUCAGAACCUACAGAAAAAUAUCAGAAAGUUAAUCAAUUAGAAAGUAUAGGAAAGCAACAAGAAGUUUCAACUCAGGGUGCAGAAAUCUAGUUCCUAACUGCCAAAUACCUCAUAUGCCUCCUGAACUUCUUGGAAUUUUGCCGCGGCUCCAGGAUCAUUUUUAUUGGUAUCAGGGUGCAAGUUUUUUGCAAGCUGCAGAUAGUCAAAAUGACUACAUAUCAUGAAACAGGGGACCGUGUCGGAAGAAAGGAAACUUAACACAGGGAAAAAUACAAGUCUUCACGAUGUACAUAAGAAAGGGACCUACCCCAUAAUAAGCUUUCUUGAUCUCUGAUGGGGUGGCAUUCCUACUUACUCCAAGGACAUCAUAGUAAUCCCCUGAUGUAGUAGCUAAUCAAGGAAAAGGCAAGUCAGUGGACCUAUCCAAGAAAACAGACCCCAGUAUAGUCUUCUAUAAGGCGCAAACGAUAAAUUCUAAGAGACCGGAAAUCAAAGACAGGAAAAGAAGUCAUAACACUUUCAAUUCCUCACAUUUCCUCUUUCACUCAAUGAGCUUCUUCAAGACUUAAUCGCAUCCAACAAGUGUAGAAUUUCCCACUUACCCCUUCUUGCUCUAUGCCAACAGAUAAAUUUUAACCAAGAAAAUAAUAUAAGGCUGAAGUAACCUAGUCAUCUAGACUUAAUACUAUUUCUCAAUAUUAAUCAUGAACUCAAUGUUUUGAAAUUGGUAGAUGAAAGCAGCAUCCAGUUAUGUUUAUAUGUGACAGAAUUAGUUGAAGGAUUUUCAUAAAGUAAAUAACUUAUCAAACUGAAUGAUUACCAUACUCUUUACAUUUUAUUCUAAUUAUGCAAUUCAACAAGGAGCAUCACUAUUAGUUAGGUAUAUUUAUCCCAAAUUACUGCAAUUUCUGUACAAAAUUUAAUUCUGUGAGCAUUAUUUAGUCCUGCAAGUAAUCUGCUAUCAGUUAUAAGUCAAAAGUUUUAGGCAAUUUGUCAGUUUUGAGACCAAAAUAGUAUAUUGAAUCCAAAUAUCAUGCUUCAAAUGUCAAUCUAUUUAAAAAAGAAGAAGAAGAAGAAUUAGGAUAGAAAAAUGAUGAUCGUAUAUCCAACUCAACGCCACAAUGUCAGAUAAACUUUUCCUUUUCUGAUUUUGAAAAAGCAAAACAGUAAACCUCUCAGUCAAAUACCCAAGGACACAAAACUUCUGUAGUCCUACAUAACUAAGUCCCUGCUACAGGCACAAUCUAAAUUUGUGCAUUACACGAAAGAUAAUCCAUUUUAUGCUGAAUAUACUUUAGCACGCAAUACUCACAACUAGUGAAGUCCCAAGAAUCAACAAGAAAUUAAAGAAAAACAGCAGGCAUCAACCUGGUAACCAACUAAUUAUUCAACUGAAAACACAUUAAACAUAUUGCAUUACUACAAGCAUAUUCUGCAGCACAAUAAUAAUACAUACUCCCCAUAAAAAACACAGAGUAAAACACUUGUACAAUUUUUAUAUAUAAAAGAACACAGACAGAAAGAGAAGUAACCUGUGGCAUGAAUUGAUCGCGCCGCACCCAAAUUAGCUACUAAUGAUCCUAGUCUCAGCCGUUCUCUUCCAUCAUUUACUGCAAUUUUUAACAAAAUAAUAAGAAGAAGAUUUAAAACAAAAAAGGUUAAUUCAAUCCGAUCUCCCAAAUUGCAGGAAGCAUUUUUGCCUUUCUCCAAAUUAAAAAAAACCUCUAAAAAUUCAAAUUUUAGCAAAAUAGACAUAUCUCUAAUUUAAAACAUACCAUUUCUCGAGUUGGAAAAUCUAAAGACCCUAUUUUGAUUGCAAAAUGCAGUGCUGAAACUCCUAUACCCGCCUCUCAGCAACGCUUCAUUUAGCUGUCAUAAAUUCCACGAAAUAAAAAAAAUACAUUGAUAAAUAUGUAACUACUCAUCAAAUGAGCAAGAGAGGGGGGAAUGGGUGGUGGGGCAUACCGAAGAAGAAGAACCGUGGAGGAGAUGAGAAGCGAGAGAGCGGAGAGCGAGGCGGUGGACGAGUCUGAGGCCGUUUGAGCGGACCAUUUGUGGGGGCCGGUUGGAGAAUUGGGGAAGGAGAGAAAAACCCUAGCUGAGAGGGCAGCCCCGCCAGCCAGCCAGUCGCUUAAACCCUAGAAGAGAGAGAAAGUGGGCAACCCAAUAAAACUGGAAGAAGAAGAAAUGCAAAUCCACUGAAAAAAAAAGAGUUGCUUGCGUCGUAAUUAAUCGAAGCUUCUAGCCGAGUCUUAAAAAAAAGUAAUGAAGCAGAGGUGGUACUUCUCCGACUUGUUCACUAGGGUUUUUUUUUUUAUAAAAUUUUUUUGUGUCUUAAAAAUUAGGGUAAAAUACAAGGAACUCCCUUAUGGUUUCGCGAAAAGACACCUUACCCCCUUAUUGUUUAAAAACCUCCACAUAAACACUCUAAAUUUCAUAACUAAAGUGGAAAUUACCUUCUGAACCGGCUGAGUUACCGGCUGACUUUGUCAAAAUCCUAUCUCUUUUAUCUGUGAACUCCUUUGGCAUCGAUGCAAUGUUCAACUCUCUCAGCGUUUUAACGAAUCUCAAUCCAUUCGGAACCAUCUCCAGCUUUGGGCAAUAUACAAUUGUCAAUACCGAAAGGUUGGGCAUGGCUCCUUCAUCAAUAUUCCACUUCUCUAAGUUGUGUAGACAUUCAAAACGAAGAAAUCUAAGUUGGCCAAAACUUGUUGCCUUGUACCUCAUCUCUUUUCCGAGAAUAUUUAGAUUUCGCAAGUGAAGUGACCGGAGAUUAGGAAGCCUUUCCGGAGUUUCCAUGGAAUAUUCCUCUAUCCCCAUUGUGGUUAGUUUCAAUUUAAGAAGGCUUGCAUACAUGUAUUGGGCUUCGUACUUGGGGAAAUUGGCCUGUGGACCGUGUACCUCCAAGACUUGAAGAUUGCGACUAGAGAAACAUUGAUCAAUAGCAUCUGACAAUUUUUUCUUGGUUAAGGUGGCUUCAGGUUGUUUCGGGCCUUAGUUCAGAACUCGUAAAUGUCAAGAAAGCUGCUGCUAUGGAUUCUGAAGUGCUUAAUAGUGAUGUCUUGAAGCUGUCGAAAGGAAUUGGAAAUAUUGCUGAGGUUGUACGAUCAAUUGAAGCAGCAGGGUCAGCGGGGGGCAGCAGCCAGAAAUUUUCUGAAUCAAUGAGUGGUUUCAUGAAGAUGGUUGAGGAGGAGCUUAUAAGAAUUCAAGCUCAAGAAAGUGUUGCACUGAUGCUGGUGAAGGAUAUCACAGAAUACUUUCACGGAAACUCAGCGAAGGAAGAGGCUUAUCCUUUCAGAAUAUUCAUGGUUGUGAGAGACUUUCUAUCAAUUCUUGAUCGGGUAUGCAAGGAAGUCGGAAUGAUAAAUGAGCGAACAAUAGUUAGUUCCACUCACAAAUUUCCAAUUCCAGUGAAUGUGAAUCCUAAUCUGCAGCCAAUUUCUAGUGCUUUUCCCGGAAGGCAGCGGUAUAGUUCUUCAGAUGAUGAGUGCUCUUCACCUUAGUUCUUCGAGGAAGAUGACGGCUUCUACUUGCUAUCAGCGUCAAAAUGCUAAGGUUUCUGGUCGAUGAAAUUCUUGUUGCUGCCUUAUCAGAGGCAUUGUUGGCUACUAUGCUAAUUAACAAGAACCAUAAGACAGCAGCAAACACAAUAGCUCCAGCUGUAGCCCGCAAAGCCUUCGUGAAGGGUAGCUUGGGAAUGAAAUAUAGCAAUUGAAGGGUAGCUUGGGAAUAAAACUCAAUGUCUUUUCAAAGAAAUCUCGCAUAUCCAUCAUCACUAGGUCGCACGCCCGGUUACAGGUUAAUUUCCACUUUAGUUAUGAAGUUUAGGGUGUUUAUGUGGAGGUUUCUAAAUGAUAGGGGGUAAGGUGUCUUUUCGCGAAAUCACAAGGGGGUUCCUUGUAUUUUACCCUAAAAAUUAAUGGUCUUGAAGUAAAGUUAGUGCCCCUUUUUUUUUUAUUGAAGUUUUUUUUUUUAAAAAAAAAAGGGAGUCAUGGCUUGGUUUGCUUUGGGCCUCUAAGCCAUUUGUGAUCGUCAUGUUCUGGACCUUCUGGUAGUUUCUGCUGAAACUUUUUUUUUUUGCCCUUUUAAGGGCAAUGCAAUGGGUAGCUCAAGGCAUACAAAUAUUUUAACUUUUUUCUUUUGGAUUAAUAUUAAAUGCAGUUUUCUUUUUUGAGUACAGUGGAGUAGAGGUGCAACAAGCUUAAUUGAGUAACUCGCAGGUUUACUCAGUCAAAUUCGGCUUUGAAUUCAUAUUGACUGAGUUCAAGUAGAUCGAACUAUUUGACGAGUCAAACUUGAGUUUAAUAUGUGAAAGUCUAAAGUUCGUCGAGCUCAAUCGACCUUCACAAAUACGCGCGCGCGCGCACACACACACAUAUACAUAUAUAUUUUAAAAUUUUUAUUUAUUAGUAUGAAAUGUCUAUUUUAUCCCUUGUUUAAAAUUAUAUAAAAUAUAAACUUAUAUUUCUAAAGUUCAAUUAGGCUCGAUUAAGAUCGAUUGAAUUCGAAAUAAGCUCAAUUUGGGCUUGAUAAGCACGAGUUCGAGUUCGAACUCGAGUAAUGCAAAAUAAAAUCGAGCUCAAGUUCGAACUUGACUUUCAAGAGCUCGACGAGUUCGAUAUCGAGUCCAAGUUUGUUUAACUCAAGUCGAGCUUGAGUAGUGCAUUAUUUGAUAGAAACAUUAUUGAUAGCACAUAUUCUAGCAUUUUUGGAUAUAUGUCAUAUGUAAAAAAAAUUAAAUUUAAAUUUAAAUUGAAAUUAGGUGACAUGCAUCUAGGGAUGUUAAUACAUAUACUAUCAAUAUAUAUAUAUACAAGAUUGACUCUUUGUUUUUUCCCAAAACCUAAUAGGGUAACUCAAGUGUGGACGAUAAUAGGAUUGAGGAUGGUAAGGUAAUAAAAUCUAAACGUACGACCUUGAGGAGGGUUGGUCAUAAUCAUCGGAUAUUAUGGAUAUUGUUGAGGAUCAAAUUUUGUCUACCGUUGGACAAUGAGUGAAAUUAGGGCAUGUGCACAAUGAUUAGGAGUGUAAAUUUUUGUAAGCUUUAAAGUGUAUGCUUUACUAGAUUUUAAAAAAAUCAAAUAAAAUGUUUAAGGUUAUUUUUUUUAUUGUAACUAACAUGAUUAAUGAUCUUUUAGCUAGGAGGGAGUGAUGAGUUGGGUGGUAUGGGGGGGAGAGAAUGUAAAUGACAGGUCCUGGGUAAGGCUGCAAAUGAGCUGAAUCAAGUUUAAUGUAAAACUCAAGUUGGAACUCGACUUCAAAUUCGAAUAGAGUCGAAUUCGAGCUCGAACUUAAAAAAAAUAAUAAUUAUUUUAUUUUUUAAAAAAUGAAUAAAAUAGUACUUUUUCUUAAUAAAUAAUAAAACAUUAAGAACAUAUAUAUAGAAUUUCAUUAUUAAUAUAUAUAUAUAUAUAUACAAUCAAGUCGGAUCGGGAGCUAACAAGUUAAGUAUUUUUGAGUUCCAAUUCGAGCUUGGUCAACUUUGACUUGAACUACUCACAAUCGGCUCAUAAGCAACUCGACUCGUAUGCAGUCCUAGUCCUGCGUUCGAAACCUUCCACUUAUACUAAAGAAAAAAAAAAUCCUUUAAUAGCAUAAUAUUGCCAAGGAAAAUCCAAUUCAUACAAAAACAAGUUGACAUCUAAUAUUUUGCUAGUAGUUUUUGCUGCACUUAUAGUCGGUGGAUCUUUUCUUGCAUCUAUUGUAAUCUGAGUUACGAAUUAUGAAUUUUGAGGGGUUUUUUUGGCUAUUUUUUUGUGGGGGGAAUUGGGCGAAUAGAAUGAAAAAUAUACACUACUGUUAUAUCACAACCCAAAACCUCUACAUUCAUAAUUGUGGCAUUAUAUGUGAAUUAGGCUUCUUGAUCAUCUAUAUACAUAUCUUGUUUAAUUCAUCUGGGUGCAUUCAUCCAAAUUAAAAUGUCUAACAAAACAAGACUUUGUUUGAUACGACAGAAUACAGGAUUGUUUUGGUAGGAUAAUUCAUUUGGGGCAAUUUGUCCUUUGAACAUUUGGGACAUGAAAUGAGAAAUUGCAAAAUAUAUAUAUAUAUAUAAAUUUAUGGGUUAAUUUCAGAAACCUCCCCUGAGGUUUCCCCUAAUCACACCUAGCACCCCCCAACUUUCAGAAAUCACACUUACCACCCUUGGCAGAAUGAAGUGACAUGCUAUACCAAUCAGUAGAGGAGAAAUUACGAUGCUACCCCUUAUUAUUAAGUAAUUCUUGUGCAGGAAAAUGCUACAAAAAUUUAAAAAAUUGAGGCUAUAUUAAUUGAAAAUUGAAAGAACAACAUUGCUCUCAUUUUUUGCGCAAAAUUUGAGCGCCAUUUUUGUUAUCUUGUAAAGUCAAUAUAAUGGAGUAAUAGGUGUACAGUAACUACUUCGCACUAUCAUUAAUUCCAGGAUACUUCCCUGACUUGAAACAACCACUAGAACAUUUCCUUGUACAUGAUCCUAGAUCACAGAAGACAUGAUAAACAAGUUAAUAAUGCGUGCAACAUAUAUACUUUGGUACAUGAUCAGAUGAUGAGAUUUAACUUAGUUGCCCAAAGCACAGCUCCUGCCAAUCCCGUGUUAGCUAUGCCUCUACCAGGCUUUCCUCUCCUUAGAGCACCCUGCAAUGUAACAACUUCAAAAUUGAGCAUGUAAUUAUCUAGCUCCCACAAGUUAGCUAAUAUUUCGUGAUUAUCAGGACAAAUUUGGUCCAUUUUAUAUGCAUACAUAGUCAAGUAACUAACACCUAACAUGAUAUACAUUUUUAUAAACUGAUUGUACCUCAUAGAUCACCCUAUGUAAAGUACUCAUAGAUCACCCUGUGUAAAGUACUCACAGACAAGCAAGGACUACUCAUACAAGUAAAAUUACACAUCUACUAUAGGGAGAUGCACAAAUUGAUCAAAGGGCUAAAUAACCAUUUCAAAUUUAUGCGUACCAUUAUACUACCUUUAAUAGAUAUACACAAUCAAGCAACGAACAUCUAACAUAAUGUACAUUUUUGUAAACUGAUUGUACCUCAUAUAUCACCCCGUGUAAACUAAUUGUUUCAAGCCAGUGGCUGUUUCACACUGUAUCAGGGCAUUUCCAAGUAGUUUUAACGAUGCUAAAGGCUCCCUGCAAUCCUUACUCUUGGUUUUUGAAGUGGUACAAGUACUCUUUAUUAUCAAAAUGUAUGAUAGAAGACUUAUGUACUUUUGUUGUAUUUCAUCUGGUGGAAUAUGCAUUGCCAUAUACUAAUCUUAUAAUAUAUAGCAACGCAUUGAUGCACUAGUUGCUUGGAAAGACACGUUGAUGCAUUAGUUGUACGAACAGAUAUGAAUAGUAGCACAUUUUUUGGAAUCUUAGUUUGGCUUAGACUUAGCUAAACAUGUGACCGUGGGAAGUACACAUCUAAUUGGAUUGUCACAAGUACCAUACAAAAGCUUUCUACUUUGAAUUGCCUGUGACUAUGAAGGCUAAAACAGUUGGUAAUCAAUUACAGCAUUGCAUGUUGUACUUGGACUUCAUCAAAUUGAUUUUCUAAUCUGAAUAAAAAUGUAGAUAGCAAUCAGUGUUAGAUUGAUGCACCAGUUGCUGCAGUUUGCCCAAAGAAAAUCAAUGAUGAAUGAUAUUGUUAUCUUGUUUCCAAUCUGCUUAAUUCAGCUUAAGCACCAGGUUGGAAUGGUUUUGCCCAACGGUCCUCUAUAGUAUCAAUGUUAAGAAGCUUCUUGUGCUUAUUACACUUACACCCCUUUAGCUUCUAAAAUAAUAUCACAACAUAGUUUUGUUUUUAUUUUCAUCUUGUAAUUUCAAAACUCAUCCUCCAAUAGGGCAAAAGUGGAAUAGAAAAUAGUCUCUCUCCUAUAAACAAUUUUUAAAUACAAUUCUUACACAAAAGGGCUGACAAUGUGAUGAAAGUUGUCAUUCUAAGGGUGGUAAGGGUGAUUUCUGAAAAUUGGGGGGGGUGCUAGGUGUGAUUAGGGGAAACCACAGGGGAGGUUUCUGAAAUUAACCCUAAAUUUAUUCACCCUAAAUUUAUUCAUCUGUACAGUUACUUUUUUUUAUUAUCUCAUAUACAUUAAAUAAUAAAAAAUGUCAAUACAAUUCAUCUAAAGAAUUUUCCCAAUCAAUCUUCUAUCAGCGGUACUCACAUGUUGACAUCUCAACUUUUAGAAGAAUUUAGAACCCUCCAAACCAUCUCCUCCAACAGACACACCUCCACCAAUUUUCGAAACCUCAGUGCCAGUUUCGAUUGUUAUUUUUUGGGAAAAUGAUCGAUUUCAUCCUUCACAUUUCACAAAAAUAUUCUUUUCGUCCCUCACUUUUAAAAUGAAACAAUUUCGUCCUUGACAUUUAAAAACUGAAAUCAUUACAUCCCUGAAUCCAAAUUUCAAUCUGAAUCAAACCACCAAUCAACCUAAUUACAAAUUUUGGGUGUGUAAUUGGUAGAUCACUUGGUUAACUCAACUUGAUAUUCAUGUGAAAUUUAAUGAACCUUAAAAGAAAAAAAUAAAAAAUUAUAACAUAAAAAAGAAAGAUUAAUCUUUUCUACAUUAUCAUUGUAUACACUGACGGUUUUAUGUACCGUCAUAUAAUUUUAAUUUUAAUUUAAACACCAAAUUUUAUAUUUAUGAUACACAUCUAGAUUCGCAAGCCGAUAUACUAACGGUGCAUGAAAAAAUUUACCAAAAAAAAAACUCUACUAUUCCGAAACAAAGAAUGGCCUUUUUAUGUUAUAAUUUUUAUUUUUUUGGUUUAAUAAAUGUCAUGUGAAUAUGAUGAAAUUGACUUAAUGAUCUAUCAAUUCUAUUUUCGAAAUUUAUUACUGGGUUAUUGGAUGGUUUGAUUCAGAUUGAAAAUUAGGUUUAGGGAUGUAAUAGUUUUAAUUUUUAAAUGUCAGGGACGAAUUUGCUUCAUUUUAAAAGUGAGGGACGAAAAGAAUAUUUUUGUGAAAUGUGAGGAAUGAAACAGGUCAUUUUCCCUUAUUUUUUGAAGUUUUUGUAAAACAAUAUAUUAUAAUAAUUUGAUGUAUUUGAGGUAAAAAGGUGAUUGAAAAACAUAUAUCCUCAACAUCAUAAGUGGAAAUGGAGGACGACCACAAACCUCUCUACAUUAGUUAUUUCCUAGAUUGUUACCCGUGUCCUUGCUCAAUCCUUACAAAUCAUAAUUAAGUUAGAUCCUGUUUGAUAAUCCAAUUCAUCACUUAAACUUAAUAGAUUUAGAUCUUAAUAUGUUCAGAAACGUUUGAUAAUAAAAGAUUGAACAUCUGAAUUAAUUAAGUGGCACUGCAAAACUUGCUUCCGAAAUUAAACGAUAAGUUAUUCACUUAUUACUAAACGUGAUAUACGCUCAAAUAUAUUUGAUUUAAUAUUUAACAAUUUAAUAACUUAAUAGAUUCAAACUUCAGAUUUCUCGUCCAUCUUUCAAACAAACAAUAGAAAAUGAUUUCUCUUACGUGAGCAUUCAGGUGGGAAGUGAUGCACCGGUGAUGAAAAAACCGGUAAUAUAUAGCAUUACUUCUUUAAUUAUACCAAUUCAAUACUUGUCCUCCAUAGAUGAACCUCUCAAUUCGUAGAUUUAGGCUAAACAGGGGGAAAAAUACAUAACAUAGAAAAGGAGAAUCAGACUAUUAUUGAAAAGGUGCAGUUCUAAAGCGGAUUCAAAUAUAAUUCUGACAACAUAGAAAAGGUGCAGUUAGUAAUGUAAUAGUGUAUAGAAUACCAUUCUGACAACUAAACGAGUUUUGCUCAUAUAUACUAGUCCCACAGCUUCCUUCUUUCUUUUUUUUUUUGCUUUUUUAAGCCAACCAAGAUCACUUUCAUACCAAAAAAAAAAAGAAAAAGAAAAAGGGUAUUUGAGGCGUCCCACUUAUACUUUUGGAAAAAAAAAAAAAACUAUUUGGUUGCUAUCUACUUUCUUUAACCAUAGAAGCUUUUUGACAAAAAAGCAGAGAGCAUUGAGAAUUUGGAGGAAUUCGAUAGUUCCCAGACCUUAAUGCAUAGAGACAUGCCAGAGCUUCAGUUUUGCCUUAUUAGAUAAACAGAUAUACGAACUUCACACUGAAUUGGCCUUUUUCCCAUAGUAAACCGGGAAAGUUUGUAAGAGUGGCAAAGGGCUUUAUAGUGCUUUUCCUUUGGAAUUUCUCCUCUUUGUAGUAAAGUUGUGAUCCAAACCCUAUGCCAUUUAUUUAUCACAGGUCUACAAUAGAUGGUAGGAAUGUACGUUUAGAUGAUAUGACCAAGACAAAAGUUAUCAUCAACUCGUUUUUUUAAUAUUUUAAUUUCUUCCUUUUUGCCCUCUUGAAAGUUGAAGCACAACCACAAAAGGCAAAAACCAAGAAAUGAAAAGAAAUAAGAAAAAAAAAUGUAAACAGACAGCAAGAUAAUUGCUCUUGAAACUUCUAAAGAUGAAUUAGAUAGUCUCUACUUCUACAUUUGCUCAUAAACACCUUCUCUUGUAAUUUUGCCUAAAACAAUUUGAACCUCACUAGAUCAAGAACGCUUUGACUCAGAUCUCUUCAGAAAUUAGUAUCUUUCCUGAGCUUGAUUAUUCAAAAAAUGGGGUUAUUUUCCAGAGGCCUUAUAGCUCAUGAGCUUCGGAGAGAACAGAGUAUGCAUAUGGCUCGUGUUAACUCCAAAAGUGGUCGAGUAUCACCUCCUUCAAAUCCAAACAGAAUGCGGUUUGAC